This 313-nucleotide long non-coding RNA is filed under the name Setaria viridis. RNAcentral's name for it is "long non-coding RNA (SVIR_LNC011084)". Lineage: Eukaryota; Viridiplantae; Streptophyta; Magnoliopsida; Poales; Poaceae. The record is from RNAcentral.
UCAUAUUCACCUUAAUCAAUCUGGCAUUUUGGUUCUGUUGCAUUUUUAUUUACAUUUAUCUAUAAAAUAAGAAUUGCAUAUCAAUAUAUCAUAGUUCUUUGUUGUCCUGAAAUUUUGCCUAACAGUUAUAAUAACACAUAAAGAAUGCACUUAUGUUUUCUCUAGUCUAUGGGAACCUUAUGUUUUUAUCAUGAAUAUAAACUUGUUUGCUCUCAUGAACCAUUGCUUUACCUUUAGUGCACACCACAUAUCUGUGAAAAUAGACUAGUAUGAUUCCUUUUAAGUUCAUCCUAUUGUUACUCCAUACUACCAC